CCUACGGGGGGCAGCAGUGAGGAAUAUUGGUCAAUGGACGAGAGUCUGAACCAGCCAAGUAGCGUGAAGGAUGACUGCCCUAUGGGUUGUAAACUUCUUUUAUAUGGGAAUAAAAUGUUCCACGUGUGGGAUUUUGUAUGUACCAUAUGAAUAAGGAUCGGCUAACUCCGUGCCAGCAGCCGCGGUAAUACGGAGGAUCCGAGCGUUAUCCGGAUUUAUUGGGUUUAAAGGGAGCGUAGGUGGAUUGUUAAGUCAGUUGUGAAAGUUUGCGGCUCAACCGUAAAAUUGCAGUUGAAACUGGCAGUCUUGAGUACAGUAGAGGUGGGCGGAAUUCGUGGUGUAGCGGUGAAAUGCUUAGAUAUCACGAAGAACUCCGAUUGCGAAGGCAGUUCACUGGACUGCAACUGACACUGAGGCUCGAAAGUGUGGGUAUCAAACAGGAUUAGAUAAGUC
This 453-nucleotide ribosomal RNA is filed under the name uncultured bacterium. Its description in RNAcentral is "partial 16S ribosomal RNA". It matches the Rfam family "Bacterial small subunit ribosomal RNA", at positions 338 to 786 of the family's 1533-position model. The record is from RNAcentral.